Molecule: transfer RNA, 78 nt
Filed under: Dehalococcoidales bacterium
Lineage: Bacteria; Bacillati; Chloroflexota; Dehalococcoidia; Dehalococcoidales
Description: tRNA-Pro
Rfam family: tRNA
About the family: Transfer RNA (tRNA) molecules are approximately 80 nucleotides in length. Their secondary structure includes four short double-helical elements and three loops (D, anti-codon, and T loops).
Source: RNAcentral
CGGGGUGUAGCUCAGACUGGUAGAGCACUGCACCUGGGAUGCAGAGGUCCAGAGGUUCGAAUCCUCUCGCCCCGACCA